GCACGGAGUUAGCCGAUCCUUAUUCUUCGGGUACCUUCAACUCAUUACACGUAAUGAGGUUUAUUCCCCGAUAAAAGCAGUUUACAACCCAUAGGGCCGUCUUCCUGCACGCGGCAUGGCUGGUUCAGGCUUGCGCCCAUUGACCAAUAUUCCUUACUGCUGCCUCCCGUAGGAGUCUGGUCCGUGUCUCAGUACCAGUGUGGGGGAUCAUCCUCUCAGAUCCCCUAUGCAUCGUAGCCUUGGUAAGCCGUUACCUUACCAACUAGCUAAUGCAACGCAUGCCCAUCUUUAACCACCGAAGCUUUAACAGUUACACCAUGCAGUGCUGCUGUUUUAUGCGGUAUUAAUCUCUCUUUCGAAAGGCUAUCCCCCAGUUAAAGGUAGGUUGCAUACGUGUUACGCACCCGUGCGCCACUCUCAUGAGAACCGAAGUCCUCAAUCCCGUACGACUUGCAUGUAUUAGGCCUGCCGCUAGCGUUCAUC
This 483-nucleotide ribosomal RNA is filed under the name uncultured bacterium. Its description in RNAcentral is "partial 16S rRNA". The record is from RNAcentral.